AGUGAACGCUGGCGGUAGGCCUAACACAUGCAAGUCGAACGGCAGCACAGUAAGAGCUUGCUCUUACGGGUGGCGAGUGGCGGACGGGUGAGGAAUACAUCGGAAUCUACUUUUUCGUGGGGGAUAACGUAGGGAAACUUACGCUAAUACCGCAUACGACCUACGGGUGAAAGCAGGGGAUCUUCGGACCUUGCGCGAUUGAAUGAGCCGAUGUCGGAUUAGCUAGUUGGCGGGGUAAAGGCCCACCAAGGCGACGAUCCGUAGCUGGUCUGAGAGGAUGAUCAGCCGCACUGGAACUGAGACACGGUCAAGACUCCUACGAGAGGCAGCAGUGGGGAAUAUUGGACAAUGGGCGCAAACCUGAUCCAGCCAUACCGCGUGGGUGAAGAAGGCCUUCGGGUUGUAAAGCCCUUUUGUCGGGAAAGAAAAGCAGCAGGUUAAUACCCCGCUGUUCUGACGGUACCCAAAAAAUAAGCACCGGCUAACUUCGUG
Molecule: ribosomal RNA, 492 nt
Filed under: uncultured bacterium
Lineage: Bacteria
Description: partial 16S ribosomal RNA
Rfam family: Bacterial small subunit ribosomal RNA
Source: RNAcentral